CCUACGGGAGGCUGCAGUGAGGAAUAUUGGUCAAUGGACGGAAGUCUGAACCAGCCAAGCCGCGUGCAGGAAGAAGGCUCUAUGUUUUGUAAACUUCUUUUGUACAAGGGUAAACCUGAAUACGUGUAUUCAGCUGAAUGUACUGUACGAAUAAGCAUCGGCUAACUCCGUGCCAGCAGCCGCGGUAAUACGGAGGAUCCACGCGUUAUCCGGAUUUAUUGGGUUUAAAGGGUGCGUAGGCGGAUUGAUAAGUUAGAGGUGAAAUGUCCGAGCUUAACUCGGGAACUGCCUUUAAUACUGGUGAUCUAGAGAGUGUAUGCGGUAGGCGGAAUGUGUGGUGUAGCGGUGAAAUGCUUAGAGAUCAUGCAGAACACCGAUUGCGAAGGCAGCUUACCAAGCCAUAACUGACGUUGAGGCACGAAAGCGUGGGGAGCAAACAGGAUUAGAUACCCGUGUAGUC
This 460-nucleotide ribosomal RNA is filed under the name uncultured bacterium. Its description in RNAcentral is "partial 16S ribosomal RNA". It matches the Rfam family "Bacterial small subunit ribosomal RNA", at positions 338 to 795 of the family's 1533-position model. The record is from RNAcentral.